GACGGACGCUGGCGGCGUGCUUAACACAUGCAAGUCGAACGGAAAGGCCUCUUUCGGGGGGUACUCGAGUGGCGAACGGGUGAGUAACACGUGAGUAACCUGCCCUUGACUUUGGGAUAACUUCAGGAAACUGGGGCUAAUACCGGAUAGGAGCUCCUGCUGCAUGGUGGGGGUUGGAAAGUUUCGGCGGUUGGGGAUGGACUCGCGGCUUAUCAGCUUGUUGGUGGGGUAGUGGCUUACCAAGGCUUUGACAGGUAGCCGGCCUGAGAGGGUGACCGGCCACAUUGGGACUGAGAUACGGCCCAGACUCCUACGGGAGGCAGCAGUGGGGAAUAUUGCACAAUGGGUGGAAGCCUGAUGCAGCAACGCCGUGUGCGGGAUGACGGCCUUCGGGUUGUAAACCGCUUUCGCUCAUGACGAAGCUUUGUGUGACGGUAGUGGGUAAAGAAGCACCGGCUAACUACGUG
RNAcentral lists this ribosomal RNA (467 nucleotides) under uncultured bacterium. RNAcentral's name for it is "partial 16S ribosomal RNA". It matches the Rfam family "Bacterial small subunit ribosomal RNA", at positions 28 to 507 of the family's 1533-position model. The record is from RNAcentral.